GACGAACGCUGGCGGCGUGCCUAAUACAUGCAAGUCGAGCGGACGGAUGGGAGCUUGCUCCCAGACCGUCAGCGGCGGACGGGUGAGUAACGCGUGGGCAACCUGCCUGUAAGACUGGGAUAACUCCGGGAAACCGGGGCUAAUACCGGAUAACUCUUUCCCUCACAUGAGGGAAAGCUGAAAGAUGGCAUCUCGCUAUCACUUACAGAUGGGCCCGCGGCGCAUUAGCUAGUUGGUGAGGUAACGGCUCACCAAGGCGACGAUGCGUAGCCGACCUGAGAGGGUGAUCGGCCACACUGGGACUGAGACACGGCCCAGACUCCUACGGGAGGCAGCAGUAGGGAAUCUUCCGCAAUGGACGAAAGUCUGACGGAGCAACGCCGCGUGAGUGAUGAAGGUUUUCGGAUCGUAAAACUCUGUUGUCAGGGAAGAACAAGUACCGGAGUAACUGCCGGUACCUUGACGGUACCUGACCAGAAAGCCACGGCUAACUACGUG
RNAcentral lists this ribosomal RNA (498 nucleotides) under uncultured bacterium. Its description in RNAcentral is "partial 16S ribosomal RNA". It matches the Rfam family "Bacterial small subunit ribosomal RNA", at positions 28 to 507 of the family's 1533-position model. The record is from RNAcentral.